Molecule: long non-coding RNA, 1832 nt
Filed under: Mus musculus (house mouse)
Lineage: Eukaryota; Metazoa; Chordata; Mammalia; Rodentia; Muridae
Description: long non-coding RNA chr12:82271728-82273560
Source: RNAcentral
GUCCUUCAUUCCCUGGGUUGCUUUCUGUCCACUGUAACAUGCCACCCAUACAGUCCCAUGCAGACUUGAAGAUUGUGUUAACCAGCUUUAUUUAAAGCCAUAAAGGAGGACCACACAGUGAACAUAAUGCCAAUAAUGCAAACACAUAUGAGCUGUAAAAAUUUGGCAGCGCUGAGCCUUCUCCCAGGAUAAGCUUAUAUGAGCCACAAAGUUAACCAGAAAGUAAAUCCAGUCUAAGAAAAUCUAGUGCUGGGCAUAGAGAGAUGAUGGCUCAGUAGUUAAGAGCAUUUGCUACUCUUGUAAAGGACCUGAAUUCAUUUUCCAAACAUAUGAACAGUUCAUACCACCUGUAACUGUAGCCCCAAGGGAACUGACAUCUUCUGAGUCUGAGGCACCUCCAUUCCUCACCCCCUUAAAAAAAAUAAAGAAAAGAGGAAAUCCAGUCCUUUGUAGAAUAACCACUUAGUUGGUGAAGUCGCCCAGAGUGGUGGGCACUCUGGGUAGCUGAGACAGAAAAUAUAGACUUGUGGUAGAGUAGUUUACUGAUUUUUAUCUGUUAGGCUGGAGGAAGGCACAGCCUUUAAGGAGCAUCCUUUAAGGAACCCCAGUCCCUCUGGAGAGCAGGGUAACGUGUGGUAAGGCUUGGCUUGCUCUAUUCAGAGCAGGGCUGUGAAUUACUUACCUGGCCCUGUGCAGUUGCUUCAGCAGGGUCCCCACCGAGAAGCAGCCACUCCUACUUCAACCCAGCUCUUAUAUUUGUUAAGGAAUCAUUUCGUGAUUUUUGUAAAAUUUUAGUGUAUUAUGUACCCAUUUCCCAGCAGGUGGUUGGUAGUAAUGCUGGGAAACCUAGUAGUCUUUUUUUCAAAAUGUAGACUUUUCCUUAGAGCCCAGUAGCUAUAGUCAGAAGAAGAGGAAGUGGGGGAGAGUUCUCCAUGUCCUUAGGUUCUGGCACUAGAAACCUUUGGAAGAGAAAACAAAGGGAGAAAAAUAGAGCUACUCAUGCCUGCUCCAUUACAAUAAAAAAUUUAUUAAAUGCUUUGCAAAAUUACACAUCAGUGGGUAUUUCCUGCAGGGGUGUGUGUGUCCUUGAAAAGGCGGAAGAGUAGACUGAAGGCAAGCUGAGGGAAGCAUCUAUACCGGUUUUGCUUGAAAAGUAAAUAUUAGUUGAGUAGUGAGUGUUUUACAGGAGUGGAAGGCUUUUGUGGAAUUGGAAGUGUAGGUGGAGUUGCGAGCUCUCUCUCUAGUCUCGUCAUGGGGUUGAGAACAUCAGAUCUACUGUGAGUACUGUAGAAAUGGGAGUUGGUUUCUGUCCCACCUUGGAGGCAGUCAGCAUGGUGUGCUUGUCCCUGUUGGGGAAGCAAAGGAGUUCUGUAAAGUUCCUGGAGACAAAGGUGGACGGAGAGGGAUGUCUCUGAGCUACUGCAUCUGGUUUCCUGCUUGUAACACCAGCAUCUCACAAGCUAGGAACCUGGGUCCAGGAGGGGGAGUACGGUAAGGUUAGAGUUAGGGUUAGUGUUAGGGUUAGGGUUAGGUUAGGGUUAGGGAUAGGGAUAGGGUUAGGGAUUGUUGUUUAGCACCAUGAUUUUGUAAAUGAGCAACUAGCUCUGUUUAAAAAAAAAAAAGAUCUGAAGGUAACUUUUAAAGUAUUUCAUUAGUCAGUUUUGCUCACAUAACGCUUUGUAGUACAUUUCCCAUUAACCCUAGAAAUCCAUUUUUGUAUCAAAAGUCAGUACAGUGUUUGUUUCACUUAUACAGAGGUUGCUGUAUAAGUUGCUAUUAGAGGACUCUUAAAAACAAAUUCUGAGAUACAAAUAUAUGUAUAUCUGUUUUGC